Molecule: long non-coding RNA, 98 nt
Organism: Melanotaenia boesemani (Boeseman's rainbowfish)
Lineage: Eukaryota; Metazoa; Chordata; Actinopteri; Atheriniformes; Melanotaeniidae
Exons: 5
Source: RefSeq, a predicted model, not a curated record
CCUACAUGCAUAGGCUCGGUCCCCCGGCAAGGGCCUGAGCCAUGAUGAAUCUAAAGUUUACAACAUCCUCACGUUUAAACGUUUCCUGAGAAUAUCAG